UACGUAGGGUGCAAGCGUUGUCCGGAAUUAUUGGGCGUAAAGGGUGCGUAGGCGGGUCUUUAAGUCAGGGGUGAAAUCCUGGAGCUCAACUCCAGAACUGCCUUUGAUACUGAAGAUCUUGAGUUCGGGAGAGGUGAGUGGAACUGCGAGUGUAGAGGUGAAAUUCGUAGAUAUUCGCAAGAACACCAGUGGCGAAGGCGGCUCACUGGCCCGAUACUGACGCUGAGGCACGAAAGCGUGGGGAGCGAACAGG
RNAcentral lists this ribosomal RNA (253 nucleotides) under uncultured bacterium. Its description in RNAcentral is "partial 16S ribosomal RNA". It matches the Rfam family "Bacterial small subunit ribosomal RNA", at positions 524 to 776 of the family's 1533-position model. The record is from RNAcentral.